CGGCUGGGAGGGGCCUCCGUGCCAGGCUGCGUGUAAGCUCUCCUGGGUUCCCGCCUCCUGGGUUUGUCCUGCCUUCAGAGGGGGUUGGGCCAAUCCGGGGAGCAGGACUGCUUGACGGACGACUUCUCAGGCUCCAGGCCGAGGUGAACUUCUAGGCUGUACUCGGACUUCUUAGGGGGGAAGAACGGCUGUCCCGAAGCCCACCGGGCGCCUGCACCGUGGCUGCGGGAGUGGACUCGGGCCUGUCCCGCGGCGUUCCGCUGGGCUGCACUGCUCUGCCAGCCCUGCCUUCAUUCUUGUCUGGGGAGCAACCUGAUGCCCCCAGAAGAUUCCUCUCAGCUUCGUCCGGGGCCUGCGCCUUUGUGUGGGUGGCCGAGUGGUACCCACGCCCCUGGGACCGCACCUGCCACACCGGUCCAGAGACACUUCUGCCUCGUGGAGAGGAAGGGCUUCCUGGUCUUGGCCGACUGCACUUGGAGCGACUGUGGAAGCGCUGGGCGUUGUUGGAACACCGUGUGCACCCUGACUGUUGACUUCCUGGCACCUGUGGAAGACGGGGGCUGCACCUUCCCCGGUUACAGACGCGACUCCUCCAGCAGCUGCUUCAGCACUGAGAGCGGUCCCUGGGGGCCGAAAGCGUGGAAUGCAGCUCCUCCCCCUCCUCCGCAGAAUAGGCACCGAGGGCAUGCACGGUGCUGGGGUGCAGGCAUGUUGGGUGCAUGGGUGUUGGGAUACAUGAUACUGCAGUGCAUGCAUAUUUGGGGUGCAUGCAUGUUGGGGUGCACAGUACUGGGGUGCACAGAUCUUGGGGUGCAUGCAUGUUGGGAUGCAUGGGUAUUGGGGUGCAUUGAUGGGGUGCAUGCAUGUUGGGUGCACAGAUGUUGGGGUACACAGAUGUUAGGGUGCAUGGGUGUUUGGGUGUAUGGAUGUUGGGUGCACAGAUGUUGAGGCUCAUGGGGGUGCAUGGAUGUUGGGAUGCAUAUAUGUUGGGGUACACAUAUGUCGGGCUGCAGGCAUGUUGAGGGAGCACAUGUAUUGGGGUACAUGGUAUUGCAAUGCAUGCAUAUUGGGGUGCAUGGGGGUGCAUGGAUGUUGGGAUACAUGAUACUGCAGUGCAUGCAUAUUUGGGGUGCACAGAUGUUGGGGUGCACAGUAUUGGGGUGCACAGAUCUUGGGGUGCAUGGAUGUUGGGAUGCAUGGGUAUCGGGGUGCAUUGAUGGGGUACAUGCAUGUUGGGUGUACAGAUGUUGGGGUACACAGAUGUUAGGAUGCAUGGGUGUUGGGGUGCAUGGGUGUUGGGGUACAUGGAUGUUGGGGUGCACACAUGUGGAGCUGCAGAAAGUGAACUCCUUGUGCCUUUUUCUUAUUAGCAAAUUAAGUCCUUGCUUCUUAAUUUUGCUGCAAAUUUACAAAAUUUAGAUGAUUUUCUGAGACCGGAAGUCAUGUUCAGUUGUUCUAGAUGCGCCCGACUCCCAGUGCAGGUCAGAGGGGCCCUGAAGGCACAGUAUUGCCACCCACAUUCAGAACAGGAACUCCGUGUGCUAAGAAAGCAAGUGUUGUGACUUCUGGAUCUCAGUGGAUUCGGUGUUGGAGUAGCACAGUUCUCCGGUGCAGCUUCUCUGAGCAGGUGCACGACUGCCCACAGGUGAGCGUCAGAGGCCAUGGAGGUCGCGCAGGGGCCCUGGUGCAACCACAGCGCUCACCUGCCGAAGCCCUGGCCCCUGUCUGUAGCCCUCGACUCCUGUGGUAAACCUGGCCACAUCCCAUCACCACCUGGCUCCCCUGAACUUCAUCAGAGCAAACCCAUCUGUACCCCUUUCUGCACAAGACCCCAGCUGAGUGCCACUGUGCCUGCUCACGUGGCCAGGGGAGCGAGGAGGCCCCAACCCCACGGUCCUCCCUCCCCACAGUCCACCUGCCCGUUGGCACAAUGGACCAGACCGGCCCC
Molecule: long non-coding RNA, 1948 nt
Filed under: Oryctolagus cuniculus (rabbit)
Lineage: Eukaryota; Metazoa; Chordata; Mammalia; Lagomorpha; Leporidae
Description: lncRNA (ENSOCUG00000038918.1)
Source: RNAcentral